RNAcentral lists this ribosomal RNA (180 nucleotides) under uncultured Glomeromycotina. RNAcentral describes it as "partial small subunit ribosomal RNA". The record is from RNAcentral. Lineage: Eukaryota; Fungi; Glomeromycota.
GGGCUGGCCGGGCGGUCCGCCGUUUCGGUGAGUACUGCCUUUCGGCCGGUCCUUUCCUUCUGGUCAACCGGUGUGCCCUUCAGUGGGUGUGCCGGGGAGCCAGGACUUUUACCUUGAAAAAAUUAGAGUGUUUAAAGCAGGCAUCCGCUUGAAUACAUUAGCAUGGAAUAACAGAAUAAG